AAUUGUGUCCUAGGAUUUCCAUGGACAUCUGAAUAACUACCUGUCUGUAUACCAAUCAGCAGGGCUUGGACCUUACCCUAGCUCCAUAUAUUCUUUUGGGAGUGUUCCAUGUGAAGCUACCACUAUUUACCUUCUCGUGCAUUUAAUCCAUGCACAUGAACAACAUUGGGGAGACCUACACCUACCUUAUCAGCGAAUGCCAAAUCUUGCAUAAUACCCACUCCUGAAGCCCCUGAUGAUGGUUUGAUAAGAAUCAGAAACGCGUCAGGCAUUAUCUACCAGUCGGAGAGUGUAUUUGAUGUUACAGUUCUUGUAUUGUGUUGUUUUUUCUCUUUGCCACUCGGCACACGCUUUAAUAUAUUUUUUGGUGAUUCCAUAUGGAUAUGGAAUAUGCUUUUUAUGUUUUUAUGUACUUAGGUGCUCUAUGUGCGUUCUGAGCCAAUGUCAACAGGUUCACUUUGUCCGAAUAAAACAUAUUU
Long non-coding RNA from Rana temporaria (common frog), 479 nucleotides. RefSeq lists it as uncharacterized. The transcript is spliced from 3 exons. The record is from RefSeq and is a predicted model, not a curated record. Lineage: Eukaryota; Metazoa; Chordata; Amphibia; Anura; Ranidae.